Molecule: non-coding RNA, 46 nt
Filed under: Trichobilharzia regenti
Lineage: Eukaryota; Metazoa; Platyhelminthes; Trematoda; Strigeidida; Schistosomatidae
Source: RNAcentral
GUACUGCUGAAGAGUCCCAAACUCUGACGAAACAGCUGUCCAGUAC